Molecule: transfer RNA, 76 nt
Filed under: Gammaproteobacteria bacterium
Lineage: Bacteria; Pseudomonadati; Pseudomonadota; Gammaproteobacteria
Also listed under: 2 other names
Description: tRNA-Val
Rfam family: tRNA
About the family: Transfer RNA (tRNA) molecules are approximately 80 nucleotides in length. Their secondary structure includes four short double-helical elements and three loops (D, anti-codon, and T loops). Further hydrogen bonds mediate the characteristic L-shaped molecular structure. tRNAs have two regions of fundamental functional importance: the anti-codon, which is responsible for specific mRNA codon recognition, and the 3' end, to which the tRNAs corresponding amino acid is attached (by aminoacyl-tRNA synthetases). tRNAs cope with the degeneracy of the genetic code in two manners: having more than one tRNA (with a specific anti-codon) for a particular amino acid; and 'wobble' base-pairing, i.e. permitting non-standard base-pairing at the 3rd anti-codon position.
Source: RNAcentral
GCAGGACUAACUCAAUUGGUAGAGUGCCACCCUUACAAGGUGGAAGUUACAGGUUCAAGUCCUGUGUCCUGCACCA